RNAcentral lists this ribosomal RNA (253 nucleotides) under uncultured bacterium. Its description in RNAcentral is "partial 16S ribosomal RNA". It matches the Rfam family "Bacterial small subunit ribosomal RNA", at positions 524 to 776 of the family's 1533-position model. The record is from RNAcentral.
UACGGAGGGUGCAAGCGUUACUCGGAAUCACUGGGCGUAAAGCGCGCGUAGGCGGUUUGUUAAGUCGGAUGUGAAAGCCCUGGGCUCAACCUGGGAACUGCAUUCGAUACUGGCGAACUAGAGUUUGGUAGAGGUGAGUGGAAUUUCCAGUGUAGCGGUGAAAUGCGUAGAGAUUGGAAGGAACAUCAGUGGCGAAGGCGACUCACUGGACCAAAACUGACGCUGAGGUGCGAAAGCGUGGGUAGCAAACAGG